UACGUUCCCGGGCUUGUACACACCGCCCGUCACACCACGAAAGUCGGCAACACCCGAAGCCGGUGGCCUAACCCGUAAGGGGAGGAGCCAUCGAAGGUGGGGUCGGUGAUUGGGGUG
RNAcentral lists this ribosomal RNA (117 nucleotides) under uncultured bacterium. RNAcentral's name for it is "partial 16S ribosomal RNA". It matches the Rfam family "Bacterial small subunit ribosomal RNA", at positions 1367 to 1482 of the family's 1533-position model. The record is from RNAcentral.